AUAGAACGCUGGCGUCAGGCCUAACACAUGCAAGUCGAACGAGUGGCGGACGGGUGAGUAAUGUCUGGGAAACUGCCUGAUGGCGGGGGAUAACUACUGGAAACGGUAGCUAAUACCGCAUACCAUCAGAUGUGCCCAGAUGGGAUUAGCUAGUUGGUGGGGUAACGGCUCACCAAGGCGACGAUCCCUAGCUGGGCUGAGAGGAUGACCAGCCACACUGGAACUGCGACACGGGCCAGACGCCGACGGGAGGCAGCAGGGGGGAAUAGUGCAGAAUGGGCGAAAGCCUGAUGCAGCCAUGCCGCGUGUAUGAAGAAGGCCUUCGGGUUGUAAAGUACUUUCAGCGGGGAGGCGGUACCCGCAGAAGAAGCACCGGCUAACUCCGUGCCAGCAGCCGCGGUAAUUC
This 406-nucleotide ribosomal RNA is filed under the name uncultured bacterium. RNAcentral's name for it is "partial 16S ribosomal RNA". It matches the Rfam family "Bacterial small subunit ribosomal RNA", at positions 31 to 526 of the family's 1533-position model. The record is from RNAcentral.